UUGACGGGACCGCACAAGCGGUGGAGUAUGUGGUUUAAUUCGAUGCAACGCGAAGAACCUUACCUGGUCUUGACAUCCCGGAGACCCUUAGGAAACUAGGGGGUGCUUCCAUCUGGAAGAAUCUGGAGACAGGUGCUGCAUGGCUGUCGUCAGCUCGUGUCGUGAGAUGUUGGGUUAAGUCCCGCAACGAGCGCAACCCUUGCCUUUAGUUGCCAGCAGUUCGGCUGGGCACUCUAAAGGGACUGCCGGUGUUAAACCGGAGGAAGGUGGGGAUGACGUCAAGUCCUCAUGGCCUUUAUGACCAGGGCUACACACGUACUACAAUGGCCGAUACAAAGGGCAGCGACACUGCGAGGUGAAGCCAAUCCCGUAAAAUCGGUCUCAGUCCGGAUUGGAGUCUGCAACUCGACUCCAUGAAGUUGGAAUCGCUAGUAAUCGUGGAUCAGCAUGCCACGGUGAAUACGUUCCCGGGCCUU
RNAcentral lists this ribosomal RNA (476 nucleotides) under uncultured Desulfobulbus sp. RNAcentral describes it as "bacterial SSU rRNA". It matches the Rfam family "Bacterial small subunit ribosomal RNA", at positions 917 to 1381 of the family's 1533-position model. Lineage: Bacteria; Pseudomonadati; Thermodesulfobacteriota; Desulfobulbia; Desulfobulbales; Desulfobulbaceae. The record is from RNAcentral.